Molecule: ribosomal RNA, 616 nt
Filed under: uncultured Vibrio sp.
Lineage: Bacteria; Pseudomonadati; Pseudomonadota; Gammaproteobacteria; Vibrionales; Vibrionaceae
Description: bacterial SSU rRNA
Rfam family: Bacterial small subunit ribosomal RNA
Source: RNAcentral
GAGUUAUCUGAACCUUCGGGGAACGUUAACGGCGUCGAGCGGCGGACGGGUGAGUAAUGCCUGGGAAGUUGCCCUGAUGUGGGGGAUAACCAUUGGAAACGAUGGCUAAUACCGCAUAAUAGCUUCGGCUCAAAGAGGGGGACCUUCGGGCUCUCGCGUCAGGAUAUGCCCAGUGGGAUUAGCUAGUUGGUGAGGUAAGGGCUCACCAAGGCGACGAUCCCUAGCUGGUCUGAGAGGAUGAUCAGCCACACUGGAACUGAGACACGGUCCAGACUCCUACGGGAGGCAGCAGUGGGGAAUAUUGCACAAUGGGCGCAAGCCUGAUGCAGCCAUGCCGCGUGUAUGAAGAAGGCCUUCGGGUUGUAAAGUACUUUCAGCAGUGAGGGAGGUGGUGCGGUUAAUAGCUGUAUCAUUUGACGUUAGCUGCAGAAGAAGCACCGGCUAACUCCGUGCCAGCAGCCGCGGUAAUACGGAGGGUGCGAGCGUUAAUCGGAAUUACUGGGCGUAAAGCGCAUGCAGGUGGUUUGUUAAGUCAGAUGUGAAAGCCCGGGGCUCAACCUCGGAAUUGCAUUUGAAACUGGCAGACUAGAGUACUGUAGAGGGGGGUAGAAUUUCA